RNAcentral lists this long non-coding RNA (40125 nucleotides) under Musa acuminata (dwarf banana). RNAcentral describes it as "long non-coding RNA (MACU_LNC009725)". The stretch from base 23797 to 23868 matches the Rfam family "tRNA". Lineage: Eukaryota; Viridiplantae; Streptophyta; Magnoliopsida; Zingiberales; Musaceae. The record is from RNAcentral.
UCCUCACCUGCUCUUUUCACUGAAACUAUACUUUAUGAAAAGGAAUUCAUUGAAUCUACCUAACACAAUAUGGAAGGGGUAAGCAUCUCAGCUGACAUCUUAUUGAAUAUAUGGAAUCGCUACUUUCCUGUUCGUCAAGCAUUAACCUAGCAGUAGGGCCUGUUUGAAGUGAAUGAAGUCAACCUUUCAUAGUGAAGAAGUCAACCAUGACUUGAUUUCUGAAUGAACGUUAGUUAGCACCCCGCUCUGUGGGUCAAUAAGCAUUAGCGCCCCUUAAAAACCAGAAAGAAAGAAUUCCAUUUAGCUAGCUUCAUAUAGAACUGAGUUCAGAAAACACCUAUUACUUACUGCUGGCUCUGCUCAUCCCUUGAAUAGAGUAAUAACACCUAUACAAUACUGCUGGCUCUAAAUCAUUGAAUUGAACUGACUUCAUAUAGAAUCUAGUAUACUCACUGCUUUGCUUGCGGACUCCUGACUCACUGUUGACUUAGACGGCUUCCCUUUGACAAUGUAUGAUCUAUGAACUUCCAGAAAUGAAUCGCAACCCUGAUGAGCUUUCUUUCAUAUUUGUUGCAUAUCUUAACCCCGCUGCUCCCGUAAGCGCGCAAUAAACAGGACUUGCUCUUGCCUUCAACUCUCAAUCAGGGUCGAGCAAACAAACCUUGUGAGUUCUGUUGCCGCAAAGGGGAAGUCUAGUGAACCUUAAGAAUGCUUUGGAAGCCGGUAUAGUGAACCUUAAGAAUGCUUUGGAAGCCGGUAAGAUUAAUAAGAAAGGGAAGAGCUGUGUAUUUACUCCGUUCUAUCCAAGGACCGUGUACUCCAUAAUGAUAAUCCAUUCAUGGUUGACUCCGCGCUCUCCACAGAAUCCAUUAUUUCUGAAGCUACUGUUAUCGGUGCUAACUCUCCCCGGGGUGCCCAUCCAUAAAUGGUUGACUUUCCAGGGUGUCCCUAUUUAGCUUACUUUCGGGGAACAAGUCACACUUACUUUACUUGUGCUAACAUGUGUUCUUUGAAUGGAAGAAAUCCCUCUCGCAUAUUAUUGAAUAAGAGAAUUGAGGCUCAAGCAUAAGCCGGAGAAGAAUCAUAAUAAGGAAAGUGUUAUACAGAAAAGGAAGCAGUGCUUGUAAAGUAAACGAGAGAAGAAGUAGUGUCAUCCGUAUAAGGAGCAGGUGAGGAAGUUAGAGUUAAUGAUGGUGCUCCUACUCGGGCAGUUCCACUGUUCUUGUUCUAGGAUCAGAAGUAGGAGAAGUCAAGUCGACAAAAGAUGGAGCUGGAUCUGAAGCAGUGCUAGGAAAGUCGAAGUCAAGUUCUGAGAAAGAAGGAAGUACUGGUGUGGUGGGCGCUAAGCAAGACUCUUACUCGUUAUUGUGAAACAGGUGCUUUCGGGUUGGAUUGGAGUAUAGAGUAGUGCUAGAGCAGCUCUUUUAGUAAGUUGUAACGCAAAGCAAGGAAUAGACUAAUAGAAAUACGUGAUAUAAUGAGUUCUGACAAGUCAAGUCUUUGCCUGCUCUUUAAGUAAGUUGUAAGAAGAAAGUACACUUAGUUACUUCCAAAACAGCUAAACUCAAAAUCCAAACCAAUGAAGAAAGGACUAGUAGUUGCUUGCACUUAGUCACAUUCGCCUGCUUGUCUGGCCAACUCGGUAGGUGCGAGGAUCCAAGCAAGUAUUAGGGCUACCUUACACUUGGGGCUACAGGUAUACCAAGGGACAACCAUCUUUGUGAGUAUCGGUAUUUUCACUAUGAUUUGAGUUCGGGGGUGAUAGAACUCUCUUAAAUACCCGAGCGAUAGGACUCCGGCGGUAUAUGACAUGACGAAUGUCAGGAUUCAUUCGAUUGGGGGCUGGCUUCUCGUAAGCUUCAUUAGCGAUAUCGACGGAUCACCUGCGAGCACCGAUGAAGCUAGAAAAGAGAAAGAGUGAAACGGGUGCAACGACACCAGAUAAGAAAGAAUCUUACCCAUAGAAUAAAAGAAAGGCGCUAAAGUAUAAAGCGGAGUGAAAGGGCACCACAAAUGCAAGGGAAAGACCCGGACAUGGAGCGGGAGAAGGAUAAGAAGUCACAUCAAACCAGAAUUCUCCUAUUUGAUUCAGGCAGUCGUCCAAAGUGGCCUUAGGGACAGGACAUCAUGGAUCGAAUCCCACCCGGUUCGGUUCCAAAACAAGAUAACGGAUCAGCUCUGUGAUCGACAUCCCACUCUUCAUUCAUGAAUAAAGGAUAAAGCGUCGCUUUCAUUACAUAUCAAACCUUGAGAAGACCGACCCGAUCCUCCAGCCAGAAUCGAAUGGUAGUCUAAUUCAGAUAGGUCAGGUUCAUAAACCCUUGUUUUUAUGGUAGAAAGAUGCCAAAAUCAGAAUCAAGAAAAAAGGAUGAUCUGCAGUUUCAUACGACACCGGGGAACUCCAGGAAGGGGAUUAAGGCCAAAAGGGUAUUUCUUUUCAUUCCAUUCAAAAUGCUUAGGUUCUUCCCAUAGGUCUUCGUCACACAGAUCUUGGAUUUGAUAGAGUUUGUUCCUUAGCCUGCUUAGAGAGGAUCGAUUCUCUUACUUGAUACGUUAAAGUAUAGCUGCUACUAUGUUGGGUUUUUCUCUCUUGUUCAGAUGUUAACUCAUGAACUUCCUAGCUUCAUUACCUCCGCCCAAAGAAAGGCUUUCGCAGCUGGGCAUUUUCACUAUUCAAUGAAUAAUAGUAGCUGAUUGUUUAGCCAAUGAUGGAUUUCGCGCUAAGGAAUGGAUCAAAUCACUUCUGACGUUUCCAAUACCGACCUCCCGCUGUUAGUACUUUGACCCCCCUUUUCUUGUUCGAAGUCAAUGAAUUCCUUUCUAUUACUAGAUUAUUGUCGGAAAUGCUUGAAGCGUGUAUGGAUAUUUCCGUUAUUUAGGAGGUAGGUUUUCGGUUUCGCCUUUCCCUUUGGGCUUUCUCUUCUUAUGUAGUUUAAGAUACAACUUGGACUUUUGGAAUGGUAGAAUUCUGUAGAAAAGCUAGUACCUCGUUAGCAUUGCAACAACACGAAUAGAGAGCGAGAUACUGAAAGAAUACUGGAAGACUCUGGUUAGUAGCGCUCUCUCCAAGUGUUUUAAGCGUUUGCCUUGUCUCUUACUUGCAUCUAAAAGCACGAAGUUUUACCCUAAUCUUAUUAUAGGGGGCGUGGGUGGGGAACAAUACUUUUUCUUUUUCUUAUUCUCCCGCUUCUGGUUGAACUCUCACUCCCAAUACAGAGACCCUAGUAUACCUAUUCGUUUUUAAGCCGUGUUCUUAGUUUCCAUGGUCACAGAACUUAUUGAGGUAGCGAAAUGCUCUGAUAAUGCUUUGACGCCUAGAAUCUUGACUUUCUCCCUUCCUGGUAGCGCCUAUCAUUUAGGAAUGUACCUAGAAACUCCAAGUUCAGAAUGGAAUUGCUUCCCGUUAGCACCUAUCAUUUAGGAAUGUACCUAGAAACUAGAAGAGAAGUUCAGCCCAAUAACUCCUGCCGCGGCAGGGCCGCUAGUUCCCGAAAGACUACUUUGAUUUAUCCUUGCUCGGCCCAUACUAUUUCCCUACUAAAUGAAGUAUUUAUCUUAUAUUAGGAUAAUGUUUAGAAAGACCGAGCAACUACUGUUCUUGUUAGAUUGGAAUUCCGUAUUAGUAGUGGUAUGGUCCAGUGGGGUUGGUGCUCUAGCUCUAAGUCAUAGGGGUAGGUUUUUGGUAUACAAGUCCUGUCUUCGUAGAUGUUUUCACGGGUCAGGUCGGUCAGGUUUCUCAUUCUAUUGGGAACACAUAUGCUAGGACUUCCUUUAGCUUUGAUUCUGUUUUCUUGUAUCGGUUUAUUUCAGGCAUCUCUAUUAGAAGCUAGUCUUUCCAUUAGGGCUGCAUUCCCAUAUUCAAGGCAAGGGGAAAGCUACAUAAGAAAAGCAUGCUUCGGAGAGUUUUGAUUCAAGGCAGAAAUGUCAAAAAAGUCAAAGAACCCUCCCUUCCCGCAAGAAAAAUCCAUAAGGCUAGGCUAUACCGCACGGGAUUUGCAUUCCCAUAUAUCUCGACUCUCGCCUUCAACGGACAGCAGAGAGGGGCUUUUUGAUUGAGGUAAAGAUUAAACACUAUUACUCUAGAUUAGAAUUGCUUGCGGUAAGGUAAGCUAAGCAUAGGAUUUACCCGGGAAUGCAACUGAAAACUACCAGAAUUGACUACUACACCCGAGGACCCAAACGCAUAAGUAAGCCUGCCACCAUGCCCUUGAGCCCGCCCUUCCUAUCCAAUUAAUAUUCUUAUACUAACUGAAACUAUCACUACCUUUACUUGGAUUUUGAAACAGCUAAUGAAAAGACUGCUAUGCCUAUUGGUCUAUCCUAGAUUACUUAUAUUAUUUCAUUCAAUAAAGAUCUCUAACCUUGCUUUACAAGCUAUUGGUCUUACUAUCCUGGCUUUUGUCCUGUAACUAGUGACUUGGAUUUGCAUACCCUUGUUUGAAUUCUUCGACGACUAACUAUUAUAAUGUAACUAGGGCAUACGAGCCCGGCACUACUUGUUUUAGGCUAUUGUUAUUAAGAAGGAGGCUAUGGGGUUGUGUUGGAGAGCACGCCGGUUUGGGUAGUGACUACUUGAAUACUACGUUACUUAGCUUUGGGGAAACAAUUCUUCUAUCACUUAUGAGAACCAAUGAUUCUAUUACUUGGCUUUGGAACCAAUGAUUCUAUUACUUGGCUUUGGAACCCAUUCUGAUAUUGAUAUUACUAAAGACACCCACGAAGCGGUAACACGACAUCUGAAAUUAGGAACAUAUGACACACACCUACCCACGGGAGAAACAAACACAUCUAGUAGAGUGGGCCGGUAACUCAUUAUUUAAGUGGAGCCGAUCAUUCACCCAUGCUACGAAGGUCCCGGGGCAUAUAAAGUACCUCGGUAAUUCAUUGAAGGGCCGGGCAACGAGGUUAGGUCAACUGGUCUAGGGGUCGAGCAACAAUAAAUGUAUGCAGGAAAACACACUCUUCGAGUAGGGUCACUCGGUCUUUGGGGAGCACAACUCCGUCUAAGAGGAAACAAUUGACCGAACACCGGUACAAGAGAUCCAUCGUCAAUGAAAUAGUACUUGCGGGGUUGAUACCACUUGUGGCUAAGCAAAUCGAAGAAAAUACGAAUCAAUCUUAUAUAAGUCAACUUAAUAGUAAUCUUAUAUAAGUCCCACUUAAUAGUGAAUUUCAGAAAGAAAAGAUAGAAUUCCAAUUCUAAGAAGAAGAAUUAUGUUUACCUAACACCGGCACCACCUGCUCUCCAAUGAAAUGAAAAAGUGUUCCCGUUGCUACAAAAAGAGAAUAGAAGUCCCCCUUUUUCGAUCACAUUUACCUAAGAAAAUAGAUUCAAAUAGAAUAUGAGAAAACAUAAGUAACCAGCCAGAAGUAACCAGAAUCAGAAAUAGAAGACAAAAUGAGACCCAUUAAAGAGAGAAUGAAAGCAUGGAUAGUUAGAAUGAGAUCGAGAAAAGGAAGCCAAAGGGACGGGGGGCUUAUUUGAAAUACAGAUAUGAGAUCAGUAGUAAUACAGAUAUGAGAUCAGUAGUGCCGGUCAGGAGUUUCGGAGUUAGAUAAGGGAUCGACAGAGUGCAAGAAGGGAAUGGGAAUGUAGCUAACGAGCAUAGGCCUGUGAACCGGGUAAACACCACUUAGGAUCCGUAUUAGUCCGCUUGUCACCGGUUCGAUUCUUUUAGUUAGUAGUUACAGGACAAAAGCCAGGAUAGUUAGAAUCAAAGUGAGCAGUGGUAGUGUUGGAGUUGGGAGUUACAGGCCAAUAGGUGAAAUACAUAUUUUUAUGCCGGGGUGAAAGCCUGGGGUCCAAGUUCAAUCUGAUAGUCAAAAGAGGUGCACUAAAGUCCUAGAAGCAGUAAAGUAAUAUCGAUAGGGUCAAAUCUGAAUCAAAGGCUAGGGUUGCAGAACGAGAGACAGGAAAGGUAGUCUUUUCGGGAGUAGUUGGUUUCCGAGUUGCUUGUUUCAAUCUUGUUACCCAGGCAGUAAUUCCUUAUUCUAAGAUCAAGUAUGAGAAGCGCUGACUCAAGUCAGAAUCAAAGACAACCUUGGUAUCGGUAGCUAAAGCCUUUUCAUUUUCUUAUUUUAUGAUGUUUAAGUCUCCCAUGAUAACCCAUAUAGAGAGUUAGUGCUUGAUGAUACCAUCGCCAAAGCUCGAUUCUUUCCAGCACAGAAUGAGAAUAGAAAUCCAAUAGAGAGCCCGGGCAUACUGCUAUAUGAGAAUGAGCUGUCUUUGUAUUGGAGUAUAAAAUGUAUAAGAUUGGAGCACUUUCUUGCUCUUUUCUCCUUUUUUUCGACAUGAGUUGGGCUAACGGGACAAGGAGUUUUUUCAGGUUCAAGUCAAAAGGGUCUUAAUCCAAUGGAGAAGAUAAGAUUCCCGGCUAAAGUGCUAGUUCCUGUAUUUGCUGAUGACGAAGAAGGCGAGGUAAGGAAAGCAAACUAAAGAGAAGCGUGCAGGAUCAAUCAAACUGUGAAAAACCUUAUGCUCACAAAGAAAAGGUCAUGGGUUUUGUCGAGACAAUAAAAGUGUGUGGGAAAGAUCAUAUCCAUCUAGGGGCUUCAGCCUCCUUUCCUGAGCGCUAUGCUCAUUAUUAGUAUCUUGAUUAGUUUCAAUACACCUUCUCUGGAAGUGUAUUAGUUUCUUUUUGAUACCUUCUCUUGAGGAGCCUUCUCUUCCUUCGGCAAACAAGCUAAGGCUUUCGGGAACAGAACUCACUGCUUUCUCAUCAAAUAGAUUGUAUACUGUAUCCUAGAAUAGAAGCUAUGUCCACCUCAUCAAAUAGAUUGUAUACUGUAUCCUAGAAUAGAAGCUAUGUCCACCACCCCAUACGACUAAUACUAAAUAGAGAGGGCCUCGUGGUUCUCGACCAGUUACAUCUGCUUCGCCUGCUCGUCAAGAUAUUACAUUAAUCUAUUCGCUGUUAUUUGAGCAAGGAGUUGGGGCACACAAUAAGUUCCAUUGUACUGCAAAUGGAAGAAAUCAUUCUCACAAAUAACGGGAAGAAAUCAUUCUCACAAAGAUCAUCCACAACUAAAGGUACUGCGACGCCUGCUUGAACUUCUGCCCCUCCUGUUGUCUCCGUUGCUAUGGGGUUGUCCUCCGCACCAUCUCUAUCUGUCCAACUAAGGUGUCACUGGACUUAAUAAAGCUACUUAUACCUAACCUUGUCCAAGCUUGAUCUUCGACCGACCUCUAUCGCACUUAUUGUUAUUUUAUGGAGUUGCCUCGAAUAAUAUGACUGGUAAUGGCUGGCUCUUUGUUACAUGGCACAGCUGCUCCUCGCCCUCUAUCUUCAUGAUGGAUCCAUCUUAAUUGGAUCUUAUAGUCUUGGUUCUAUUCGUUCGUCUCCAAAAUCCGCCCUUCUCUUUCUUAUGGUCUGGAAUUGGAACUAAUCAAAUAUGUCCGUUGGCAAAGUAGUGAAUCCAAAAUAAUAGGUAAUGUCACAUAUCAUAAUACAUCUAUUAAUCUUAUUUAUUUGUGCAGGACCUACGAACCGGGACAACCGGGAAGCUGAUUGGUAGAGACCAUAUAGUCGGCCACCUGUUUUAGGCUCAGUACUCCCUAACGAACUUAGAAUAUGGUAACUCCACUCAAGACUCUUCACUAGACGUAGACGAGAGAAGGAGCCAAAGAAGAAACGGAAUCCUUUCUAAGAAUUGAAGAUAAGAGUAUGAAGUCAAAGGAACUACAGCAACCAGAUAAGAGUAUGAAAUACAAGGAGCUACAGCAGGACAGGACGGAAAGAAUAGGAACAAGGAAGGGCUUGCUUCACUUGAGUUCCGAGUUAAGAGUUAGAACAAGCAAGUGGUAGAUCAGCAACAGUAAGGGUAGAAAGAAAGUACAGAUUAUAGGCUACAAAUGAACUAGAGCAGCCAACAAGCCGAGAAGAAGCUAAAGAAGGAGCAAGAUCAACAAACGGUUUAGAAGGAGCAAGAUCAACAACCAACCGGUUUGAAAGAUUGCAGUACAGUCGACGGUGUUGGCGCAGCUGCAAACGAGACAGGAGGACCGCGCGAAGAAUCAAUUCCUUCUGAUGCUAAUACGGUUCGAGCUUGAGUAGAGUAUCUUUCAUCCCAACAAGCAGACAGAGCAAAAGAGAUAGAGAAAAUGAAUGAUUUGUGACAAGAAGAGAAGAGAUGGCCCCUUAUAUACAAGUGAACAGGACUCGGUAUAUUAAUUAGUAGCGGUAACUAAUAACUGGCUUCUGAAGCACUAACUGAGCUGAGUUGAGUAAAAAGAGCAUAAGUUGCAGUCUUGUUCGAGGUUUUGAAGCGAAGCGUUAACGGGAGUGAGCUUACCUUAGUUGUCGUAUAUAGAAUAGAAUGAGUGGACCUACUUACUAUAGAAUGAGCGGACCUACUUACUGCAAAGCAAUGUUACAUUUUCUGAGUGACCCCGAGACUAGAAAGAAGCCUUAAGAAGCGGUUUGCCCAGCCCUAUCAAUUGGUUUUUCUCUUCAUGUGCCCUCUUCAACCCUUUCAUAAUGCAAUUGCAAGCAGUACUCUAAGCUUAUACUAUUCGAUUCCAUAAAAGAGCCUACUCUAAGCAGCAUCAGCUAAGAUCAAAUCGUCUGUUGUGCCCGGUCUGUUGCGGGCUAUCAUUCGUAUCUUCAUUGGUAGUUAAGUUACUUGCAUAAACAGGAAAGUCAGAAGUCCCCUAUUCUGGAACACCCUACUUUAUUCAUUUACGAUUACCCUUAUUUUUGUCCUUACCUGCAAACUUCUCAUUUGAGAGAGCGUAAAUAAAGUCCUCUGCCUGCUGUAAGGCCCAAGCAAGGAAAGAAGGGCGGGAGACUCAAAAAGAUGGGUUAGCGAGGCGGGACGAAAGGUUUGAAUUGAUUGAGAAGGACUUGGCCCUAUCGUCAAUCGCCGGUCAAUAUUCUUUCUUUCUACUAUACUAGUUAUCCAAUAAGAGGAAUCGGGGACGGCACUUAGUUUUGACAUUCUUUCUUCGUUGGUACCCCAGAACAAUAGUCAGUAGUCAGGUAUAGCCAGUAGUUGGCCUUAAGCCUAGCAGUGUUACGGAAUCGUGUUCAGGCUCUUAGCACCUUUCUGUAAAUAUCAAGUCUGAAUGUACUUAUCUCUAAGAGAAUGGCUUGCCCCCACAUGUUUUAGAUCUAGAAUCGAAGAGUCAACCCUCGGAUGCCGGUCUUUCACUCCGUGAAGGCUUUACAGAGAACUAGGCUUUUAGCUUCAUUGGAUAAAGGCAGAGAUCACACUGGUUUGUAAUUGCUUUCUUUGGCUGUCACUUCAUUCAUCCGUGAUACCGAAGGCCUUUUCAAAAGCAUCUUUUGAUCCUGUUUUCUCUGCUUUAGGGUAAUCAAACUGUCCCAGAGCAGAAUAAAUGGCAACUAUACUAGUGAGUCAUUUCGUACUUAUGUCGUUGGGGAGCGGAAAUGGCACAGCAAGAAGAAAGAACAACCGAAAGUCUUCGACUUACCUCUAGCAUUUUCUUCUGUAGCUAAUACAACUGAUGUUGCUUCAUCUCCUUUCCCAUCCGCCCGGGGAACCGAGUCCUCUUUAGUUAUUAAUGAAUUGGCUGCUUCAGAGGAUACCACUUAUGUAACUGACUCAGUAGAUGGACGAGACCAACCUCUUUCACCGAGCCGAAAAGUCUGCGUUGCCAGCUGCUUGUUGAAUUCUAUUACAAGGCUCGCACCGCCCUAACCCGAACUCUCUAGGGAACUCUCCUUUCAGAACCGCUCACUCCAAAGCGAACUGCUUACUCUCCACUUUAAUAAUUCGCUAAUGUAGCUCACCUUCUUUUUUGAAUGGAAUCUCUCUCUUUCGCCUGUUCCAACAUUUUCUACCGCAUACCUUCCCUUUUGCUGACCUCUACUUUCCGUUGAAGUUCCUUUCCUUCUACUGAUCUUGAUUCUGAUCUAUCUUUAUGGUCUUGCUUCCCCACCUUCUCUUACAUCUUCUGGGCUUCCAUCGUAGACUUCACUGUCAACCUUUCUUUGGACCACUACUGGGGGCUCAGUAUACCCAACAAGAGCUCAGUAAGCGAGAUCACCUUUUGCCGAACAAUCUCUUUCUUUCAACUGAGUCUGAUCCUAGAACGAGAACACUCAAUGAGUUCUUAAAGCUAUGCAAUGGUUGGUUCCUUUUGAUUCUAUAUAUGUGUGUGAGUGAGAUUCAACAAGCAACUCAUACUUAAUUAACGCCUUAGGAAUGAUUUCUUUUCUUUUGCGUUUCGCACCCAGGCGCUAAGACUUAUUCGUUAGUGGUGAUUUGUAUCGUUAGUAGUGAUUUUGAGUUUCGCAGUGUUUUGUUACUUUUAUUAUAUCACAUAUGCCAUAUAUGCUAAAUAAAGAGGCAUGUAUGCUUUCCUUUUUCCCCUAAUGCCAUAUAGGCUCAAAAGACAGAGGUUGGCCCACCAAGUAGUUUCGUUUUAGAAGCAAAGCAGUGUUUUUGACUCUUUCUUCCAUAAGGACCAGAACCAGAAGAUCCAUUCUACCUAGCAUAAGAUCCAUUCUAUCUAGCGCCAUCAGCCAAUCUGUCAAGCGCCAUUAGCCAAUCUGUCAGCCGAACCUCCUCUCGCCCUUACUUAUUAAUAUUAAGGCUUUCUUAUGAGACCCCUAUUGCUACUGUACCUCUGGCUCAUCUAACUACAUUUCUUUGAUACCGGAAUGAGGCUCCUCUACCUCCUUAUUCUUCCCUUAGCUUAGCUCCGGUAGGCAUGAGAACUGAAUAAGUCCUGUAUUAAGGGUUGGUUAGUGACUUUUUCUUUCUAUUACACGCCUCCCCUUCCCUUAAUGUUACUUCAAUGAGUGAACCACUCCCCUCGACCUAGACCACUCCUGUUUCUAUUAGUCUCGACCUAGACCACUCCUGUUUCUAUUAGUAAAGUAACCUAACUCUGAUACUAAGAUACAAACUGAACUCUUGAACUCCCUAGUAAUUCACUCCUCUUUCUUGCCAGUUACCAGAGGUGGAUGAUAAAGCUGCUUGUUCAAUAAGGUAUAAAAGAAGAAAUCUACUAUCUGAUUUCCCCAACUCGUAAACUAGGUAUUCCACGGGAGCAGGUAUAGUUAGAUUAAGGGGGAGGAGUUACAGAGUUACCGACAAAAGUGAAGUUAAAGAAACCUAUCGAAAUUCCAUCUUAUAUAAUAAAGAUCCAAGAUUUCACUCAUAAGAUAGAUAGAAAGUUGGAAUGUAGGGAAUUGUCCUUCCCGAGCCAAGAAAUGUAGGGAAUUGUCCUUCCCGAGCCAAGAGUAGUUAACCAGUCUCUUUGAAACCAACCCGUAGUACUGUUAUAAUACCUAUUGCUCUACUUUCUUUCUUUCUUGAUAGGCCUAGUUGCUAAGGAGCUUUCUGAACCUGAACCAAUUGUUGUUGCUCUGAACCAGAACCACUUGUUGCUGACUGACCUCUAUCUCUUGCCAAUCAAUACUAACCUCACUCCGGAGUGUAGCCCCGGGCUUCCCUUAUCUUUAUUAUCCUGCACCACCAGCAUCUUACUUAAACAAACCCUUCAACUACUCCUGUGAAGAAUAGCUUCCCGCUUCAAAGCCUGUACUUUAGAACCUAUAUCUCCACCACUACAUUAAGGGGCAAGCAAGAACAAAGAGCAAUGGAAUCCCUAGUUUCAUCCGGUAUCGGUCAUCCUAUAUAUAGAGAAAUACUGAAUUUAGUAGUUUCAUAGUAGGGACCAAGCAACUAGGCAUGUAACUUAUAAUGUGCAGCGUCAGUGAACUCGUUACGCGUUAGUGUGAGAGGCGUGGAAGGGAGCUCCAAAGUAGUUGAGGUAGUUGUGGCCUGGCCCAGUUAGAAGAAGUAGAGUGCCCCUCCUAGUAGAAGAAGUAGAGUGCCCCUCCUAGCCCGAGGUAUUAUAUAAGAGAGUAGCCCGCAGUAUUCUUUAUUUCUUGAUUUCUGUAUGUCUUUCUUUAUAGCCAUAGCCUCUACUACCCGAGUAUUGGAAUAAAAUCACAAACACUAAAAUAACUAGAAGAAAGGAGAAACUAGAAGUUAGAAACUACAAGCAAGUGAGAAACUACCAAGUAUGAGUUAUUACAUGUUAUGUAAAGUCCUGUAUUCAUCUCGUAUACUGCCUCAGUAGACACUAAGUAUCAAAAAAGCCAUAUCAAAAUAGAUGUUAUUAUUAAGGAUAAAGUAACUACGAAACUACUAGUUGAAGGGCGAAUACAGAAACACUCAGGAUUCACAGACAGGACUUGGGACAAGUGAUCUUAGCGCUACCCAUAUUGUUAGAAAGCAAGAUAGGUCUCCCCCCUCGUAUUUGCUUGUCUCAGUAAGUUAAGUAAAAGCUCCAGCACCCAUACCCCGUAAGUCAAGAUAGGCUGUUUAUGACUCUUGAGAGCGGAUUCCCUAGUUUCAUUAGUUAUCCUUUAGAAAUAUCAGAUAUAAUUAGUAGGGGCCCAGCAACAAACUACUAGGUUUCAUCCAUUGUUUCAUCGACAAGUCUUGUUCGUUCGGUCAGGUCAACAUUGUCUCCCGCGCCUCCCUAUAACUACUUAUCUAGCCUAUCAUAGUUACCGCAAGACCUAUUUUUGCUUCUUGAAAUCCUGUGUUCGCCUGUUCGUGGGAGUAUAGAGCUUAACUGUAGUAGUGAGUUCAAAAGGAUACUUAUUUGCGUCUAGGGUGGAAUCUGUCUUUUAUACUUUCUAAAGAGAAUAUAUCAUAGAUAAGAAAUAGUAUAAUAGAAGGAAUGCCCUAAUACAUAAUUGCUAGUGAGCUGGCGGUUAGACGCACCCCCAAGAGAUUAUCAACUUGCUUCCUUCCUUGCCUGUAAGAUAGUCUGCCCCCUUAAGGCUCGUAAACUUGCUUCCUUGCCUGUAAACUUGCUUUCUUUCCUGUAAGAUAGUCUGCCCCCUUAAGGCUCUUCUAAUGCUUUGAUGCCUAGAAUCUGGACUUUGGAACUCCCUUUAUGGGCCGAGUCCACCAGUCAUUUCUCUUAGUAAGCGCCUCUUGUCAAACAUUCCAAUUCAACAACUAUCCCUUUUGCACUAGGAAUGAACUAUCCCUUUAGCACUAGGAAUUGAAGAAAGGAUACUCGAACACUACAAGCAAGAUUCGGGUUUCAAAUGAACUAGAACAGCCAGUAAGUACCAACAUAGGCUUGCCUAGUAGCUUGGCAGACUUGGAGUUGCCGAUCCACCUGUUGCUUCAACUCAAUUCUGAGUGUUUCCCAUAAGGCUAGGGACUCAUACUAGGCUAUUAUUACUUAUCUCGGAGAGCAAGGUGCUGAAAGCCUUAUACUUGUUUGUUUCAUUCUGACUUUAGAGUGGAGUGGAGAGCGCAUGGUUAGUUCCCUGAAUCUUAUUAUACCCGGAGAACUCUUCUGUUUCAGGACUUAGCGCAGAAGCCUGAAAAGCCACAGCAUCCCGAUAACUAUAACCAUCUUGACAAUCUGAUACAGCAAUAGCACAACUACUCCUGUUAGCGCAAAUCAUUCCACAACUUUGACUUUUGCCACUUAUACUGGGCCACUCAUCCUUCUCCCUAACCUUAUCCAGCAGCAGUUUUGGCCUCUUCUGAGCUUAAGCAAGAUCCUUAUACCUGCUUUAUACCCGGAUUCGGCAUCUUAUCUUUCCACUGAACAAGCAACUUCAAGUAAUAACACACGACAGCAUCAUUUCCUGACUUUUCAUCUUAUCUUUCCACUCGUAUAAAGUACUUCGCCCCCUUACUUAAUACUUCACUUCUUCUGUAGCAGCUGAUCAGGAUACGGCUUCUGGAACAAUACUUUAUCAAGCUUAUGAUCUUGGGGCGGGAUACUCCACUCUUAUAGCCUCAGAUCUUUCUUACCUUUGUUUAGCACUUGGUAUAUAAGGAAGUAAAUACACAGCUUCUUUACUAUUUCAUCUCUUAUUUCUUCUUGGAAAACGGACCAAGUAACUACAGGAUGUUGAAUAAGUUCCUCUGCUCCGAGUAAAUGGAUUGUUCCGCUGGAGCUCAAAGUAGUGUAGUUAGAAAGUGAGCUAAAGAAUUGCCUGUUCUAAAGUAAGCAGCAUAAAGUCCCUGGCCAAGUAAUUACAGGAAAUUAUUUGCAUGGAGUCUAUUACACCCCCUAGGAAAAGAAUAAAGCAAGUAAGACGAACACUAGCGGCCCUUUAGCCAUGAAUGAGGGAAGGGCGGUCUACUUCAUACGAGAUAGGUGCUUCUUCUCUACGAGUUCGACAGAAUUGAAUUGAGUGUUCCCUAUGAUAGAAAGAAGUCAAAAAAACAAGAAACUCAGGAACUAAGAUAGGGGAUAGUGUUUCGGCCACUCUAAAAGGGAGGGCUUCUGGGAAUCUCCAACUUGUUCAUGCGAACUAUCAUUUCGUUAGCGAGUUCAUUGUCAUCGGCGUUAUGGAGUUCGACAGAAUCGUCUUUUCACAGCCGGACUUGCAUUAUAUGCUAUAUAUACCAAAGACGUUGCUUGUUGAAGAGAAUUGCCUGUGUAACGGAGCUUUGGAAGAAUAUACUGGUUCCAAAAGCGGUAAGCAGUGCUUGUCAAGUCAACUAUACUAAAGAAUGAGCUGUACUUGAAAGUCCAGAGGUGCUGUGCUUGUCAAGUUAACUAUACUAAAGAAUUAGCUGUGCUUGUAAAGUGUAGUUCUGGUAAAGAAUAAAGUCAUGGUAUUUCUAAGUUGAAAGCAUUUAUUCACAGAAAGGAUAGGUCGGAUGCUAGGAAGGUAGAGUGAGUUCAGAUAGCCUACCGAUCUGAGUCUGUUAAGGGAGUAAGUGUAGCUAAGGCUUCUAGUUGUUGACAGUUAAAAAACACAUAGCGCCAAGCAACAUAGAAGUUCUAAUGAGUUAUUCCUGAGUCCUAUACAAGGCCUACGGGACGGGAAGGGAGUUCCUGUCUUAUAGAACAUAGAACAUCAGUGAAGAAAUGAAGUUAGAACAUCAGUGAAGAAAUUCUGUCUGUCUUUGUUUACUUCGGAUCAACUGUCUUUACAGCGCGGUGUACUGAUCAUACGAGCGAGUGUAGUUCCUUCGACGAGAAAUAAGUGUUCUUCAGACAACACCGAUAAUUGCCCAACUUCAUUUCAUAAUAAUACUCUAAGUCCUUCAUACUCGUUUCUUUCUGCUCUUGUUGAAUCAAGAGUAAGCUGAGUCAGCGCAGUGUUCUUUCUCCUGCUUUACUUCAGAAUGGAAGAUGUUGCACGUAAACAUAGUGUCCCGCUGUAGCUUCAAGUGGUAGAAAUAGGUUCCAGUGUUGGUAUCUAUAAGCUCAUCUAUCUCUUUUCUCUGACCAAAUGACAUGAGAAAAGGCCCGCUCUCUCAAGCAGAACAGGUGAGGUGGUGCGUUAAGCAUGCAGUAAACAGAACAAGCAAGGUGCUAAGAGCCAAGGCCAUAAUUGAGUACUUUUGUAUAGGGUUCGGCUGUCAACUGCCUAUGGAGAUGAUUUUCGUAAACCAGCAAGGGAACCAUCCAGAUUAGAUGCUUGAGACGGCGCUAAUAGAGUGGUAGUUCAGUUAAGGGAAAAAGUGAGUCGUGGAGAAUGGAGUUUCACAGUGACAGUUCUUGUUGUUGUCGACGAGAUAAGAUUCGAAAGUGGAGUUUGAGUGUUGUCUAGGUUCGGUGCUAGUUUCAUCGCAAGUCCUGUGUUCGGAAACUAGAAGUAAAACACCAGACUCUAAUAGGCAUUUCAAAGGGUAAGGCAAAGAGGGCUUUUGGAACUAAACUACUGAGAGCUAGACACUAACACCACAAUAAACUCUCUAUACCGACCCUAACUCUACUACUCUUAACAACAAGCAAACUGUCAAAUAGCCAGCCCAUUCUCUAAGUUGAACCCAUGUGUAACGUUACUUAUGAUUACCUAUGUUGCCUUCGUUACGCCUCUUGACUCUUGAAAUGCAUUUCUUCCUAAUAUACGGAAUUAGUUUGCUUUGCGCUGGUCCUACUGGUCCUAUAAGAUUCUUCUUUGCGCUUUGAGGUCGAGAGAUAGAUUCUUUGAGUGCAAGGCCAGAUAUCUUCUUUGAUUGGAAAUUGAAUGCAAGGUUGACCUUCUAACGCGUUGUAUUAGUUUACACUGGCCCAACCAACCCUAGAGAUCGAAUACCAGACUGCACACGCACGGCCUCACAGCUUGUUGAAAGCUUCUAACACGAGUUCUCUUAGCAGGGGUUUCAAUGGAUUUCUAUGUUACUUUAUACUUGGAAUCGCAACGAGAUAACUGAACUUAGAAUUAGGGUAAGGGACUGAGCAUCAUAAGGCAAUGCAAUUCAAGUCCAAGGCAAGCAGAGGUGCUAAGAGCCUAUUUCUACGACAAGGGAAGGCGGCACAAACACCUAUUCUUCUAGAAUGACCAAUUAGCCCUACUCUUUAUACUGAUCUCUACUCUUAACCUCGAAGAUAAAUACAAUCCUAUUUCCCUUUGGAACAGGCAAUUCUCUUAAAGUCGACUAAACAGCGGAUUCUGUUACUUCCUACCCCCAAAACCGUAUAAGAUCAUCUCUGGAUGUGGUAGGUAAGACCUCUUGCACACCUUACGAAAGCUGGAAUAUAUUAGUGCUUGUUACUAAGUUAGUUCAUAAGAUAUUCUUUUCUGGCCUUUCUUUCUUAACUCCCUUAACUGACAGAGACCUGAACAAAUACUACUUAAAGCUAUCAACUGUCCUAAGAAUUCAUUUCGAAUCUAUCUAUAGCAGAAGCAUAGGAUCUAUCUAAUGGCAGGAAUAGAAUCCAUCGAGCGCUCAGCUCCCCUAUACAAUAAGGCAGCCAAUAACUUAUCUUGCAACUUACACUCAAACGGAUCCUGAUAAGACUACGACGGAAGAUGAUUAUUCUAGAACAGGUCGAGUACACCGCGCUCUCUGUACCCGAUUAUGAGUGGAAGGCUUGAACUUCAUCUUGAGAGUCGACCAACACAAACGGAAUGAAUUGACUUAACGGCAACACCCCUUCCUACCCAAUUCAAGUAGAUAUGAAACCCCUCCACUCCACCUUUACCGCGGGCAUGGGCUGCAUACUUUUCUCUUAUCUUAUAGGGCGCACCGGACAAGCAAGAAAUGGAGUGACCAACAAGAGCUACGGUUUAUACCCCCAAUAUGGACUUGAGAUUGACAGCCGGCUCUGCUCUAUCUGUUGACUCUAAUGCUAUAUGCGCAUCCCGUACUCCACCAGCUCCUGCAGAAGAUCUUGAUUCUUAUCCCGUUCCUUAUUCGGCAUCUUAUCCUGCUGGUGCUUAUGAUCCUGGAAGUUCAUCAUUUCUUUGAAUCUCCUCUUGAGCACUUGACUUGUUUCUUGCUUCAGUACUAAGAGCUCCAAUCAACAUAAUGACCUACUGGGGAAACGGAAAACUCUAGGAAUUGACACUCUGUUAGCGAUGUAAAGAGAGACUUGUAGGGCAAAUCCACACAAUGAAUGAAAUCUAUCGAGCAAUAAAAUCAAUUGACCUAGAAACAGCUAGCGCACUUGUUCUUGCCCGAACUGAACUCCCUAGGCUUGUUCGUCUUCUUAGGUCUGGACCUGGCAAUACUUAAUGCUUAAGCUUCAAACAGUCAUCUUUCGAGCGGUCAACUCGCUAAUGCCGAUAAAACAGGAACAGGACAUUCUCCACUUCACCUUGCCUCCUUGUAAGUAAUAUAUGAUUCCCCGACCCGAACUCUAUUAACCGGCAGACAAUGCUCUUGCCCGAACUCUAAUAGACUUGACUUAUCCUCUAAAUUGAAAGAUUCCUUUGUCGACUCAACUUGACUUACCGCGACAACACCUAGAUCAUAUAGAGAUGUGGAAUCAGACCUCUUUUGAUACCUAAUUGCUGCUUACUUUAGUCUUGCUGCUGCCUUUCCUUACUCAACUGACAAAAAAAGAUAUUAUACACAAGGAGUUAGAAAACUUGACUUGCACAGGACAACGACUAAGCUCUUGAGCACCAGAUAUAGAGUGAAGUAAAUACUGUGCUUCCCUUGACUCAACACUUGAAGAAUAUGAUAUUUAUUGAGGAUUACCCCAGUUAUAUACUCUCAAAGUCAGGGAACAGAAGGUAUAGCCCUUUGGUUUUGCUAAGUUGAAGUCAUGUUCAAGGGCUGUCCUCGUAUAUGUCUUCUCCCAUCAGUUCAAUUAGCUUCACCGUUUUCCUCAGUGCUGGAAAGAUCCGUAUUUGUGUUUGACCACUUCAUAAUUGUCAGGUAAAGUUGAAGAGGCAAGCAGACGAAUGUUAAUAAGUGCAAGCAACGUAGACAAAAACUGCCCUUUUGAGUUCUAUAGCGGGUGUGAGGUAUCGAUUCUAAGCCGGGUGUUACUUAUCGAAAUUCCAUUCAACAAUCAAUGGAACGGAACCAGCAACUUCACCUUGUAGUUACGUUCGAGCAGAAGACAUAAUAUCAUCAGCAGGAGCAGGUGCAGAAGUAAGAGUUGUUGACUACCCUACGGCGCUAACAGGAGUAGUUGACAGAUAUUUAUCAUCAACAAAGAAGGAUUCCACUCGCCCAGCAACGUCCUGUUUUUGUCUUUCUCGCCUACCAUGUGCUCUUUCUCCAAAGUAAUCAUUUCUGAAUUGAGUUUUUCUAAGGAAUAUAAGAAUGGAGGGUGAAGUUACCCUUAAAAUCACUGGGGGUAGGUACUGUUAAAGCCAACAUGGUUGAAAUAGACUCUAGAAGGCGUAUGUUAUGCAUUCGCGAAGCUUGGGAAAAGGAGGAAGAUGGAGUAAGAGAAUAACCUAUGUGUUCAGCAAGAAAACCAAAGAAAGGGGUUGGACCACACCAACUUAUAAGAAGUGGUCUUAUACUCUGAAUCACUAAUACUAUCCAUUCGCAGAUGAAGUGAAGCAACAAGAGAAGUUCCAGAGUGCUUUUCCUGAAUUCGAGUCACUUUAUGAAACCUCUUAUACCUCUUAUACCUCUUAUACCUAGUAUACCUCUUAUACCUAGUAUACUAUAUCUCUGCAAUCAUUUCAUUAUAUCUCUGCAAUCAUUUCAUUCAAGUUAGACAGCUUUCAAAGGCUAGAAGGGAGAAUAGUGCCCUUUGAAAGGAAGAGAAUGCCGAUACUUUUGAACAAUCUCCCAUCGGAAAAUAUGAUAAUAUCUUAUUAGCUUAUUAUCAGAGGACCUGACAAUUGCCCUCUGGAGCUAUCACGGCUACCUAAUAACCCACCCUACUAGUUCUUCUGGAUGAGUUCAAUCGCAAUGUAGCAUGGCUUUGCUUGCCGCGCUUCAACAGAUUGAACUUAGCAGUUUCUUUCACAAGUAGUUCUCAGUCUCGCCUGUGAUGCGUUUGCUUUGCUUACAUGGUUUUUCCCUGGACUGAUUGGAAAAAACAAGUUGGAUUGGUCCCUGCCGCUUUCUCUGGGCGGGCUGAGUCUAGUUGCUUCCGCCUGUUCGAUGGAAGUUUUCGUUCUGACUUCGCCGAGUCCAUCUCCAUUGAAAUCUCUCGCCCUCGUGAUAUCUCUAGGAGGAAAAGAAUCGGCCUACUAUGCUCUCCCCCAUCUAAGCUUUUGAGGGCAACGGGUGGGGAGGCUAGAGGCUCGCUGAAGGUACUUCUGUCUCUCUUGGCCGGCCUAUGAUUGUCCAGUCAGCCUUCUUUCUUUCCUUAAGAGUGAAUGGCCCUCUUGACUACUCCAUCUCUGUUUUGGAAUUUCAUGGGAUGUGUUGAAUAAGUGAAAAAAGGGACUACUUUACCAUCGCAUCGGGAGAGUACCAGGAAAGGGUUCAGGAGGAACCUUAUCUCAUCACAUCGGGAGAGUACCAGGAAAGGGUUCAGGAGGAACCUUAUCUCAUUGAUUCUUUCUCCUCCAAUUCCCCCCGGGAAAGCAAGCCCUAUGAAACCUCUAUUCCAUCAAGCAAACCCCGAACAGCAGGUAUGAGCCCUUAGAUUCUCGGAGUUCUAACCUCGAUUAUAUUCGAAAAUCACUGCCCUUGGCCAAAGACAGACAUCUAGAUCAUAGGAAGAAUCGCCCCAACGCAAAAGACAGAGGAAAAGCAAUAUCUAAAAGAACAUCACUGACGCAAUUGGAAGAUCCGCCUUGGCAGCAGCUAUUCUUCCUUCGUAGACAAAAGAGAUUGAAUACAAGGAAUCCUCUGUUUAGGCUUAACUACAGGAAUCAAACCUAGAAAAGCGAAGGGCAUAGGUCCACUCUUCCUACAUUGAUAGACCUCUUAUCUAUUGAAUAAGAAAUUCACAUCUAUUUGUAUUUCUUUUGAGGAAGAUGAUAAAGAGACUUAUUACCUGGUCCACUAGUACACCGUAGUUAUUCGAAUUUCUCGCGGUGGUGGUUUCCUCAUAAACCCUCAGCUAUAGAUCCAUGGACGUCUCCAUUCAUUUACCUUCUCCUCCACUCGAGGACAACCAAAUCCUCAUCAGUCCUUUUGAUGCGUUCGAAAGAAAGUAGAGGAAAGAUAAGAGUGACCAUUGAAAGAAGAAAAGAUGUUACCGACACAGAAAGAAGAAAAGAUGUUACCGACACUGGGAGUAUAGCUCCUAUGUUCCGACCAGAGGAAAAAACGAACAUGGCUUUCCUCCAUAUACCUAGGAAAAAACGAACAUGGCUUUCCUCCAUAUACCUAUUAAGAAGGAGAAUGUCUUUUAACGAUAAUUGCCUGCUUUACAGAUUGACGGAUAAGGCGGGAACUCCUUUUCUUCUUGAAAGCAAGUAAGUCCUAGCCUAGUUAGCCUGUCUCGGUCUCAUGGAAAGGGAAAGCUCAAAUAAAUAAGUAUAGAAGCUGGUCUUGAAUAAUUGCUCCGCUAGAAUCAAGAGAACACUUUUGAUAUACGACAACAUGAUUUACUGUAAAACAAUCCAUCCGUUUUCUCCACACAUUGGGCAUUGGUUACAUAACAUAAGGGACCGUUAUCUUGCUGAAGAUUGACUUACCUUUAAAAGCGAAAGUCAGAUGGAAUGAAUGACGCUCCGCUCGCCCCUACUAUUGUGACAUCGACCCUCUCUCUCGCUUAACUAUGUCCCCGCUUCUAUAGUAUUACUUAUCAACUAUAUGUGCCACAGUUAUCCAGACAUUUGUGAUGGUGGUUGUCAUGUCAAUCAGAGGCAGCGCUAACUCCGAUUUCAUAGUUUGCACGAUAUGUAUGCAGACCCUCGUCUACCUUAUUCAACCUAUUCCCCACCAACUAAAGCACAUUACUCACUUACCUCACAAAUCAUGGUGAUUCCGCCUACCCUUUCACUACCUUUGAACUAGUAAGAUUGGCCAAUAACUCCCCUUUCUAUUGUUUUAGCUUAUCAUCCACAGUCUUGUAUAACAGGGCUUUGUCUUCGGUAGUCUAGUGUGUGUAUCUCGCUUCACUCCUCUUGUGAUAGGCAGUAAGAUGAUGGAUGUUAGAAUUGUAUCUCUGCUAAUGGUCUCUCGUAUGAUAAUUGUAUCUCUGCUAAUGGUCUCUCGUAUACAGAAAGAGGUAUGCUGGAUGAAAUGAUGUAUAGUCAAUUCGGGUCCGGAAUUGAUUUAUGUUAGGUAAACAAAUGGAUGGAUAUACUUAAUGUCGCCACGGCACCUUCUUCUUUUCUGUGCGCUAGUUUUCAAUAGGUCGGAAAAGUGGGAAGAAAGCCUUUCAUACAGAAGUGGUGCUGGUCCUAGGACGUGGGGCUCAACUCCGGAAGUAGAACCCCCUCCACAAUCCAUUUCCUAAAGUAUGUAUAAACCUUCUGCACCCAAGGCAUGCCCCAGAGUUCCCCCUCUUUCUUUUUUCAAAGUUCAAUAGUUUAGUUUAGGUUAUGCUUGGUCUUUUGGUAUAUACUCCAAUUCCGCUAUCAUAACUAAGCUCUAAUUCUUUGCUUGCCAAGCAAGGUGGUCAAUAGUUCUUUCUAGUUUGGUAGUGAUAGUUCGCCAAGCUACUACUUUCAAUAGAAAUGGAAGGAGGUGAUUCUGUUGUCUCAGUAUACUUUCCAAUUCUAUAUGUAUGUGCUGCAGCUUAUGUUUCUUAUUCCGUUGUGUUAACACGCUUGCGGAUUCUCUUCUUUGAAGAUUCAUCUACUCUCUAUACUUGGACACAUGCGAUUUGUGCACCGCUCUAUCCCUAUUUCAAAUAACUGAAUGGAGUAUAUGCUUGGUUAGGAGCUUUGAUACUCUUUUCUUUCCUUCCUAACAGACACAGAGACGUAAUUCUUUCAGUCCCGAAAAAGGCCCAGGCGAAAGAAGAGGCCAAGAACAGAACUCCAUGAAGACUCAAACCACUCCCCUGCAUAUAAGUAAUCAAUGAUAUAAGUAAUAAAUGAUAUAAGUAAUAAAUGAGAAAUGAUAUCAGAUCAACGAAGAAAGAGUCCGGAUUAUGUAUUUGAGCGAAGAAAGAGUCCGGAUUAUGUAUUUGAGCCUAAGAACAUAGACCUGUUCGGUAUUCACUCGACACUACUACAUAUCGGCACCAACAUCUACUCACUUCUUGACUGCCCCUUUACCCUUACCCGAUCCCAUGCCCAUGCCUAGCGAUCUAAGCCCGAAAGCAUAGAAUGACUUUUCGAAUUGAUCCAUAUAUUACUCGAUUGCAUGGAAUGACUUUUCUUAUCUAUCUAUAUAUUAACCGAUAGCAAGACAAGCCCUGGAUCCCAAUCCAAUUCCUCUCUCCUGGCAGCAAAGAAAGAAGGGGAGAUCCCCGCUAUCUAUCUACUGGUCACUUAUCCACUGGUCACUUUACUGGCUCAUAACUCGAGCAGUUGCUUGGCCAGACUUAUGCUUAUCCGCCAGGUGGUAACGGGACUACCCUCCUUAUCCUUUGCGGGGUCUACUUCCUUUGUUAUCCCUACCUAUACAUCUUUCCUUUCCCGCGUCGGGGAUGCCGGAAGCAAACACUUUGGAUCUUGUUUAUUUCAUAUUAAUAGUUCGCUCAGUAAAUCCUUCGUUGAAGCAACGGCUUACUCGCAAGAGGAGGCAUAGACUGUGGUGGCUUAUCGAGCAGCUCCACCAGUGCCAUCUAUUACACAGCAGCGGUGAAGCUAGCAGCAGAUACUUUAUGCAUUCCGGGAGAAAGAAAGCAAGUGGUCCCAAGAGCGGAUUUGAGUGCUGGAACUAGUUGUGCUCCUACUCAUACUGGGCCAAAGGACGGGGAUUCAAAUGACAAGAAUAGUGCCCAGCUACAUCAACGGUUCGAAAUCAGUUACUUGUAACAAAUCCAGACAAAGAAGUUGAUCCUUUAGAUUCUAUUGAUCCCCCGGUGAUCCAGUCCCUAUUUAGCAGAGUAGACCGAGGUCGGAAUGGGAUCGGGUCUUUUCACGUCUCACCGUAGUGCCCGUCUUUAUGAACAUAUUGGAUGACUCUGGCUACGUGUCCUUCCUUCCUGCCCUCAGAGCUGAUUCGACGGGAUGCCUAAGAGCAACGAAUUCUUCUUUCCUGAAAGAGCCUAUUCGAGAACAGUAAGAGCAGAUUCGAGGGCAUCAAUUCAUGGUUUCCUCUUCUUUGACUAUUAUACCUACCCAUGGGAACUGUGAACAACCGAUUCUUACACCUCAUCUGCACCUCAAAACAGGGCAUUAUCGAGCAGCUCCUUCUGUAACAGCAGCAGUUGAUUCAAUAGCAACGGAGUCAGUAACGGCGGAUUCUAGCACAACAACCUAUUCUAUAACAAGAAGAGCGGAUACGUCGUUCUUUCAAAGAGCGCUUAUUCCCCUUCAUGUAAAGCCUAUUCUCCUAACAUAAAGCAAAAAGGGAUUCAGGCUCAAGGCACUUUUGGACUCUAUUCCUUCUAAGGAGAGUGAAGAAUCAAUCCAUUGCUUUAAAUACGAAUAGUGGGCGUAUAUUUUCCAGUUACAGAAAGACGUAUAGUUUUAGGGGAAAGGAUAACCAUAGAACCGUUUUGAAAAUGGAUCAGUUGACCCGGUAUACGAAUUCAUUCUAACUAUCAACAAAUUGUGGCUCAAUGGGGAUUGUCAUUCUUUCUACUUUUUCCUUAAUUAAGUCCUAAGUUCUUCAGUAGCUCAGUGGUAGAGCGGUCGGCUGUUAACUGACUGGUCGUAGGUUCGAAUCCUACUUGGGGAGAUUGGAUUCAUGAUUUCUAGGUUAAUGAAGAAUAGAGUGAAAAGGAAGGAAGGGCUCGGACCGUUAGGAGUAUCCGUUCGCUGUCCUUGUUUCUAUUGCAUUCUAUAUCUCAUCUACUCACAUUCUGUUCAACGAUAUAUAAGAAUCGCAAUACCUCGGCUCCGAUCCCUUGUAAAUAUCCAAUUCAUCAUUCUUAGAUGAUGUACUAGCAGUGUCUCCUUUUGAUCAUCGAUUUUCCCGAUAGGCCACAAGCGAGCAAACAUAUUAAUGACGAGGAACGAUUGCAAUACAACUAAUACUAUACUUGUGCUCUGUUAUUCUGUCCAAAAGCCUUUGUGCUUGCUAUGCCACUAAUACUUGAGACUUGUGCUUGCUAUGCCACUAAUACUUCACUUGCGAGGAAGGCUUGCUAUGCCACUAAUACAAAUACUUGCUCUGCAAUUCUUCCCUGGCUGAGGAAGAGUUCUGGGGAGUAACAAAUAUGCUGAUUACGGUAUUGGUUACAAGAGUUCUGGGGAGUAACAAAUAUGCUGAUUACGGUAUUGGUUACAAUAUGUAAUGAUCGAAUCUUUCAUGAGAAAUCCAAAUCAGUAGUAAGGCCAUUCCAUUUCGACAAAGAAAGACCAUUGCAAACCAAGUUCAAUAGCUUUGCGUCCGCUAUCCAUUUUCCUACCCACACCCCUGAGGGAAAGGUCCAAACCAAAAGGUCAGAUUGUAGGCGAGGAGGGAUUCGCCAACACCGUAGCCACGUGCUCUAAUCCUCUGAGCAACAGGCCCCACCCCGUCUCCACAGGAGAAGUUCCCGGGAGUACCAUAAUAAAGGAACCUUUCCUAUCCUCUGCCAUUUCGGGUUAAGAAGAUGUAAAAGGCGCCUUUCUCUCCAUUUCUAUCUAUCUAUAAAGAAAGACAUAAAUCUCACAGUGCGUUCCGAGGUGUGAAGUGAUAGAGAAGAUAAGUCAUAAUUCUCGUUUUUCAUAAGACAGACGACCUUGGCAUUUUGGAUUUCUAUCUAUUUCACAUAUUUCCAAUUAUAGAAUAAAUCAAAUAAGGAAAGGUGUUUUGUUACUAUAUUUCUCAGAUGUUGAAUAGAUAUGAUUUCAUUGAUUUUAGUUUAGAGUGUUUUUCAUUAAUUAUAGAAUAAUGCCUGGGUCCCUUACCUUAGAAUCGAAAACACAAGAUUCAUCCCAGUAUGCACGGAGCCAGAAAGGCAACCCCCCUUGAAACCAUGGGAAGCUAUCAUGGAAGAAUUGAACCUCGUUGAAAUAGUUUCUCUUUCUAUUUCCUUACCGUAGGUUAGUAAAGGAAGGCUUACCAUUGUGCAUUAAUCCCUCUUUCCUUUCAAUUCAAAGAAGAUGUUUUCCCAUAGAAACCGUCAUCUCUCUGUGUCCAUCGCUCUUUGUUUGGUUGGUGGAAUGCUCUCACCGAAGGCUUGGGAUAUUUUUGGAAAGCUUUCAUAGCGGGUUAGUGUAUUAGUUGCUACUAAAAUGGAACUAGCUAGCAGCUUAAGUUAGGAAGGAAGUGGCUAGAGCAUCUACCCCGGGUUCAUGAACUUACAGACUUGCUUGGUCAGCUACAUCUUUAUGGUUCUAACAAGCGACGCUUCCCUCUCUUACCACACAAAGCGAUUCGUGCACAUAGUCUCAAUCUAGUAUGUCGAAUACCUAUGACUUCGAAUACAGCCAACAGUAAUGAAGUUAGUAAAGUAGUAGGAAGCUAAAGACAGUUUAAGGCAUUGAGCUAACCAACGACUAAUGACCAAGCCAGGCAAGCAACUACGACUGAACCUUGGAACUACCCUUUCUCAUGGAUACUUUCCUGGAACUGAACCGAACCUUUCUACUAUUCCUGGAGUGGAGACAACACCUCCGAUUCUCCCUCUCUGGUCUACUUUACUCACACAACGGAUUCAGUUGCGAGAAUACACAUUGCAUCCAAGUUCUUAUAAUUACCCGUAUCAUCUAUUCAAUACACUACUCUUUCUUUCAAACUCCGUUAGCGAGCCACGCCUUUCAACAUUAACAGUGGAUUCUCUAACUGCGGAUGUUAUCAUCAAAAGAAUGAGGCUCAACGCACCUUGGUUUUGAUACUCUCGGAUACCUCCACAUUGUCCUGAAGUUUCUAUAAGUUAUGAUGUUGAUGAUCCUUUAUAUUAGGAAAUUUCCCCCUCGUAUCCAGUGAGGCAUCUACUCUUGAAUGAUCUUUCUACCAACAAAGUUUCCGACUUAAGGCAUGGCUUCAUUAAUGAAUUGAGGCAUCUGAUUCAACGGAUUUAGGGGGUUCAAGCUCUUUGGUUCAGUAAUAGCUUUUCGUGGGGCUAGUUUCUGUCUUCGAUUAGCUUUAUCAAAUAGAAUUCUCUUAUGUAGUUGACCUUUUCUUCUUCACUACGGGUAGCUCCUAGCAACGAUGCCUAUGCCUACUUAGCCUAUUUUCUCUCUAAGGAUUUCUCUCACAGAGAAUCAAAAGAAAGCUUUCCGGGCCUUCUGGUCUUGCUUGAGUAAGCUUAGCUAGAGAUGGAGGAAGCCUUACCUUCUUAUCAAAGACGUCGACAGAGAAAGUGAUCUCGAUAUGUCUCUGCCACCAAGUUUAGAAGCAAGUAUCCAAGAUGGUAUUUAGCUCGCUCCUUAGAUAGGCGAUAGCUCCCUCUUUCUCGGUCAACCAAAAGCAUCUCCUCUGCUUCGUGUCGAAAGUUUCAAUCAGAUGUCUUUUCUUUCUCAUUUCGGUGCAAUUCCUAUUUCUAUUGCUUAAGUCUAAUUAGCUCAAAAACAAGGGUCAAUUGGGUUAUAUAGUUAGUGGCAACCCCACCUGCCAUUUCGCCCUUCCCCUUCCAAUUUCAAUGAAAAGAAGCAAUACGAUUUGUUCUUCCUAUGAUGAGAAGGAAGGCCAUAUAGGAGUACAUAUAUCUUUCAACACCAAAUGUGGAAAAGGCAGAUUUCAAAGAGCGACCUCCUCCAAGCCGGGACACCGAAACUAACGUCGUGCAGCCGAGUAGGAAAGCAGCGAAGCAGUUACUUCGAUCACCGGAGCGAGGCUUCGUUAAUCUGUAAAAAGGUACUUUGCUUUAGAAUCAUAAGAGUGUUAGGAUCCCGCAUACAACAACUAACGUUUCGUCUUUACCUGAUAUCAAUCCUGUUUCCUUGUUUUAGCGAUGCGCAUGGGUGGACUACCCGAUAAAGUAAUAAAAACAACCAAAUACAAUAGAGUUAUUACAUCCAUCUGUUUAGCAAAGAGCAUCGCUAGCACUGAAAUAAGUAUAAGCUAAAUAAGUGCACCGCUUGCUUUAAGCCGGGUUCUUUUUCUUUUGAUCACCCUUUUUGUUUGUUUCUGUGCCCCAAGAAUUUAUUGAUCCAUAAGUUGCUAUUCGAGAUGCCUUAAACAUUAUCCUUCUUUAUAACCCAGAGUAGCAUCCUAAGGCAAAACCCCUCUGAACCUCCAAAAACUCAUCUUCCGUCUGCUUAAUAAGGAAGGGUCCAAGCCAAGUUUCGGAAUUAGUCCCUUCCCCCCUACAGCAAGUUCGAGCCUCAACAGCCUUAUCUCUUUCUGCUAACUUAGAAUUCCUUGCUUGCCGGCUUACUAAUUACUACAAGGCGGUGGUAGACUCAUUUUCUUACUCGACCGGAUCUGUGCGCUCUUUUGGUUGGUGUUCCGUGAUUGAAAGAGAUGAUCGGAUCAAAUCGAAUUAGCUAGAUUCCACUUAUAUCCCAGGGUAGAAGGGAAGGCACGAAGGGUCAAAGAAUAAGUCUAAGGCUAUGCUCUGGGUUAUGGGAAGGUCGUUCAGUCACACCCGAUGGAUAAGUAGUUCUUCCUAUCUUAGCAUCUUAACCGGAGAAAAAAGGCUUCAAGAAUGCAGAACUUGACUCUUUGCGUAGAAUUCAAUUCCAGCUAUCAUGGCUAAUGAAUCAACUGGUAUUGGACUGCUCUCAAAGGCCAGGGGGGAUGGACGGACAACAAUCCCGGAGGGAAAGGCAAAAGCAUAAGUACUUAGACUAUAUGUCCUUAUCAGAACUCUUUCUCUAUGUCCGGAUUGAACAUUCCAAUCGAAGAAGCGAUGGCACCUCUGCUUUACCGAACAAGUAAAAGUCCGUUACUCACAGUAUCUUAAUUGACUGGAAUGAAUCGCUUUUGAUGCUUGCCAAAUCAUGGAAUUUGAGUCGUUUUAUUAGUCCAUUAGGGAAAAGUUUAGAUAGAGACAAAGUUGAUACUUAUUUAUUGAUGAUUGGGCCCUCCUUUCUAUUGUUCUUGUUGGGGCGCUAACUUAGUAUUUCUUUGAAAACGCAUCUUUGAAAGCUGGUAAGGAAGCUAGCUAGCUGCAAUCCAUUUCGAGAGGAUUCCCGAAUUCAUUCUCCACGUGCUUGAUCUCCUAUACAACUUGAGCAAGCCUUUCUUUCUUAAGCACAAAGUAAUAAGAUAAAGGCCUCAGUCAUCAUUCAGUAGCGUGGGCCUUUUUUCACAUCUCGUUGUAGUGUCUGCUUUCAUUCAUGAAGUUGCGAGGCACACGAGUAGGCAAGUCAUUAUGGAGGAAGCACUGUUUUAAGGCUAAGUUCAUCAAGAUUCUCAAUGAAGCUAUUGGAAGCACGAUGGAAGGACCAUCAAUCAAUGUACAGAGGUUCCACCCCAACCCUUUAAGGAUAAAGAAUAGACGGUUGAAGCAAGCAAUCGAUACAAAGAAGCAGAGCUGUAUACUAAGACUCCUUUCCUUCUCCUGUAUACUAAGACUCCUUUCCUUCUCGUCGUAGCUAACGCCCCUCCCUUUUGAUAAUGCUUUGAGCCUGGACUUUUUUCGUUCGUUCCUUGAGCGCUAUGACAUAUUUCUACGGCGAAGCUACGUUCUUUCUUCCUAGAAACGGCGUGAAAGCCUAACUGGAAGCUAUUCAGACUUACCUUCCUAAUAGACAUACAAAUUCUAACGAGAAAGCCAAUCCCCUGCUGCUUUAUUAUUAUUAAUGAGAGAUUGAGAGAAAACUAGUUAUUAAUGAGAGAUGGAGAGAAAACUAGACCAUUCCGUAACGAGUUACUUCGUUCCUUGAUAACCCAUCCUAUUUGACUUGUUUGAGUUUUCACUGCAGAUGUCUCCGUUCCCCCUGGGCCUAGCUUUCUUUAACCUUGUUAGGGCCUUGCCCACUGUCUUAGCCUGGAAUGUUGCGCAACCCUCGUUUAGCAACAAUUGAGAUUUCGCCCGGACUUAUUAAUCAUUGGAGCUUACCUACCUCUAUCUUAAGAAAAAGUAAGUCACCGCUAGCUCUGUGGGGCAGUCCAAUCUGUCCAUUACGACAGCCAUUCCUUAAGGAUUAGAAUAGUGCCCGUCCUAGCUUGAAAUUAGUUACAUCGUUGGAAGUCUUAUCAAGCGAAAUGAAAGGGAUGCGUUUCGGUUUGUCUUUUCGUUCUUUCUGUGAUUGAAGUUGCUCCCGUUUAUGUGUUACUUGCCGAUGUCAAAGCUCUUCCUUGUGCUUGUGUGGGACCGAAUGGAAAGUUCCAGAAUGCCAAAAUAUGUCUUCGGCGCGUUCCAGCUGGAACCGGAUUGCCAUACUCAUUCGCUUCACUGACAAUACAUCUCAAACUUAUGGGCCAGCGCCUGCCUACUAGCCAUUUGAAAAAGAGCUUCCUACUGACUCGGGAAGACAACCAGCGCCCUCCUUAUCGUUAGAGGUGAAAGGAUAGGUAUUGCCAUCGAGUCAUAUAGUAUCCGAGAAUUCAAUGAAAAGUAGAAAGUCUUCGACUGAACCAAGAAUCACUUCAUCUUUUUCUCUAGUGCUUGGAAUUAGGAUGUUACCAAAUAACCUAACAGCUCUAUUCGACUUCCCAUCUAUAUAUCUUAUUUGAGUUCCGCUUUGUCUCUCGCGGGUUUCUUCUUUAUUCCGAGCAUCUCAAUCAGCUCUCGAAACCAAAGAAAGGUAUUUGGAGAAAAUGCAUGAGAGAACUACUGAAUACCAUGGAAGAAACUACAUUUCGAACCUCCCUUGAGCACAUCGGUUCUAUGGUCCAGUUGACUUGCUAAUAACUCACUACCGAAAGUAUCGGAUUGUAAUAUUAAUACGAAAUCUAUGUAUCGUAGAAUUGGGCAUAACCUUACUUUCUCACUUCCUAGCUCCACUGCCGCGUAACAUUAUCAGUCCCAACAAGGACUCUGAUUCUGACUCAUGAUUCCUACUCCAGAUACAACUGGUUCAUUAGAUUCUCUCGAUCUAGUAUCUUCUCUAUUCUCUUGUUCCGGGUGAAACUCAGUAGUUAUGUAUUUGAGCACCUAGUAUAGAAAGGAGGAAAUACCCAGCUCCUAAUCCUUAUCCUGACUUUACAGCUACAACCGACUGGGGAAGAUAUAUCCUUGUGGGGAGCCACUUUUACCUCAGACAAUAUGCCCGAACAGGAAGGAAGGAAAAUCGGAUACUAACCAAAAGGAAAGGAAUGGAAGGAAGGAAAAGAAAAGAGUGUAGCGCUACGCGAGUUAACCACGCUCCAGAGGACCUAUGCACAUAAGCUAGCCUCCCUUUCAUGCCUUUCACUCUUCCGAGCCCGGCCCGACCUUAACUCUGUAUUUCACCUUGAAGUAUUCCAUUACCGGCCUCACAUCUUUAUCCACUAGCUCUAAAACGGACACUGCCUAUUUGCAUUCUUCCGCUCAUCGGUAUGAUCCAGUGCAUCCAACUACGAGCUAUAAGUAGUUACGAAAGAAUAAAGAGUUGAUACACCGACAAGGAAUACAUCUAUUAGUGGAAGGGCCGAUAUCACUACUAACAAGAAUAGAGCAGUGUGCUCUACACGCUUCAACUCAAAAGAGAGAACCGAACCAAGAAGUAAAAGCCUUAUUAUAUGCCCCAGCAGACCAAGCUUGAUUUUAUGUAUCGCUUGUCCACUCCGCAGAGUGAUUCAAAUUGGGGGUACCUGGCAAAGGUGUAUAGGUUGGAGUCUCGAUUUGGAAAUACAGGAAUUAGGGCAUACGAAUCGGAAUAAGUAAUUGAGAGAUCAAUCCUGAAAUACAGAAUGAAAACAUCAAGUAUAAGACCGAAGCUCAAACAGGAGAAUGAAAGACUAUAGUUUGGAGUUUCUCGGAAUUAAGUAAUGGAAGAUAGCGCCAGAGGAAUCAGAAUCAUUAAUGGAAUCAAUCCUGCUUUACGGAAUGAAAGUGUUGAUGCAUGGACUUGCUUUGUCCAUUGUGGAGCGGCGAUCUGUCUCGCUUCCCUGCCUUUGAUUCUCCUAACCUAAUGCUUCCCGGCAUCCUGACUUAUGUGUUUCACUAUUACUCUCCUUUCUUUUAUUCUGUAGUUGGUAGCUUAAAUACCUGGGCUCUUGUCUAGGUUUGUUAGCAUAGUAGUUCACUCCGGUAAAUCUGACUUCACUAUCUAUUAGGCUGACUUUCCUAUAUAUAUGAGUAUGCCUUUCCUUUCGACUAAUAUGCCUGCCCUUGCUUGAAGUCUACCUUCCAUAACACUGAUUCUGACUAUUUCCUACAUCAUUCUGCAAAUAAAUACUUGCGUUCUGUAGUUACUGAUCUAGAGCCCUACUUUCAUUCGACACCCCUUCCUGGCAUGCUCACUUUUGAGUUGAAGAACCAACCUACUAUAUAUCAGACUGUAGUUACUGUUUCCAAGACUUAAUCCAUCAACCAGGGAAUCCAACGUUACCUACUAGAAUAGAAAUACUAACCAUCCAAAUGGAACUGAUGCUAAUAAGAAUAGAGCUUACUGGCUAACAACCUACCCCUCUUUGCUUAGAGUCCCCGGCUGUACUGUGUCUAUGAGAACGAAACUACUUAGCUUGCUUUCUUUAGCUACCGAUUCAAACUGUCACUGCCUACUUUCUUUCCGGUACUACCGAUACGGGUCCUUGCCUGCUAUGUUGAGUCUACCUCUUAUUAGAAUAGACCGCCCUUAGUUGAAGCCUCGCUCGGCCUGUCUUCGGGGAAGCAUUAUUCAAGUCAAAAACAAAGCACAUAGUCCUUUAGACCACGAGCUCAUUCUUAACGUCGGGUAACUAUUUCUGUAUACCGAUCCGGAACUACAAUACAAAUAGUAUAAAUCAAUAAUGAAAUUCAAGGAUCGACCAAGCAAAAGUGAAGGAAUAACUAAGUAGUAAGGGAGUUGAGAGCAGAACCCCGCCUAUCCUUUAGUUAAGUCCACCUUCCUGCCUCAUAGAGAUAGCCUGACUUUACUUAUUUAUUAAACCCUAGCUCAAGGCCAGUACUUGUUCCUUCCGGUCCUGUAGUUGUCCCUGCUACACCUAUGUUUUAGUAUGUAUCAUAGUAAAAGCACUAGGCUUUCAGCACCUUAUUAUUAGUCAAAGUCCAGUUAGGCACUAGUUAAGUCCCAGCCCCUGGUUUACGUAUUUGUUAUGUAAGUCAGUCUUAUCGAAGAGUAGUCUCUUCUUGUUGGCACUAGUUAUUGAUUGAAACUAAACCAACCACAUCAGCAUAUGGAACGCCCUACUAUAUUGAUGUGAUGGAACAAAACCUAUACUCUAUGUGAUGGAACGAAACCAACCCUACUGCAUUGACAGAUGGCCCCACUACUAUAUUGAUUGUAUCAAGGGUCUUGUAUUUUGAUAACAAACAGAAUCAGAGCAGGCCCACUAUAGGACUCCGGGUAUACUAAUAAUAUGACUCCGGGUUUGGAACCAAUGAACUGACUCUUUGAAUCUACUAUUUCUUAACGCUGACUCUUUGAAUCUACUAUUUCUUAACGGUAGUGGUUUUAUUCCGAUAGUAGUAAGCUCAUUCCGAUAGUAGUAAGCUUCAGUCUGCUAGAGUGGGGGACUAUUCAAUAACUAAGGAGCCAGGAUUAGGUGCACAAGUGGGGGCAGGCUCAUUGUCAUUAGAUACAGUUUAAGUACCCAAGGUAUAAGAACGAUGGAAAGUAAAGUAGCCUUAGAGACAGUAAAGACAGUUUUGGUGUAAGUAGUGACAUUACUAGAAGCACCCGUUUUCUUAUUUCAGGUAGGGGUGAGACUCCCUGUUGCUUGUUUACUGCUUAGAGGGUAGCAGUGAACUCUGGUAGUUGAUAGUGGAACAGUUAAAGACAGGAAUAACGGAGUGGGAUCUGUACUAAUGAGAAUGCAAAUAAGUAGUUAGAAGAGGAGUGAGGUAAGCAAGGGCAGCGUCAGCUGCCAGUAAGUAAGGGCGGAGUUAAAGAAAGCAGUGUAAGCCCAAGGUUUGGUUUACAAAGUCAGGCCUUAAGGCAGGAAUGGAAGUUUCCGUCUACAACUAGUGGGAAGUAAUACAGGAUUGGUAGCUGAGGAGUUGGGAGUGGCAGACUUACAAUAAAGCAUAGCAUUCUACAUUGAGUGCAAUUCUUUGGCUACUGGGUUGAGUUCCUAUACAUACGAGUUCCACUCUGAUCCCUUGGUGGGGGGCGUGGCAUUCUUCGGCUACAGAUCCGGAUGAUUAACCAAUAGCAAUAAUAGAAUGGAGCUACUACGGAUAAGACUGAAACUGCCGAUUUGGAGCCUUACUACUUAGCAGCACUAUUCACCCCUGGGAGAACGAUCUCACUUUCCUAUAUCUCGUUCUCAAACUACAACAAAUAGACUUAUACAAAUGCUAAUAAUAAUUGAACUCAGCGGUAACAUAAUCCAACUGUAAACUGGGCUCUCUCAACAGUGCGCAACGAGACCCACCACUAAAACCUAGCCUUUCACUCCGGCAUCUAAGUAUAUAUUUGACUAUAGGGCUUGGGCUUAUUACUUCUAUUAGAAAUUAUACUACUAACUUACUUACUCGUUUGUUUGAUUCCACUAUAUCACUCGCCCGCUACUCACUAAAGGUAUUCCACGCCUUUACAGAAGUGUUACUUGAAAACGGAAACUACUGCCUACCUCCCCUAACUUUGGAUUCUGACUUAUGCUUUUGUGAUUCAUCCUGUAUUGAUAGCUUGAUUAUGCCCCUAUCGAACAUAGGAUAUGGAUGCCAACUACUUACUUAAAUACUUUAGACUCGGGAAAGCAUCUCGGGAAAGCAAGCAUCUCAGAAACCUAUUGCUCCUGGACUCUACAGUCAAUCUUUUUGACCCUAUCUUUAGUGGGCUUGACAAAAUAGCUUCUUUCUAGAUACAUACGACAUCACUCGAACAGAAAGAAGUUAACAUCUUCCAUAAUCUAUUUAAACCACUGCAACAAGCAAACAAGCAACGGAGGUGCUAAGAGCCUUGUAUUAAUUGAGUUUCGGGGGGUGGUGUGCGAGUUCCACUUGUUCAGUUGUGCUUACGAUAGUUUUUGGAGUUAGAGUUAGGUUACCGCUACGUAGGGUUAGAAUAUGUCUCUACUAAAUAUGAUUUGCUUCCUUUACUGAACUGCCUAAACCUCUUUAUCUCAUUCCUUUUUCAUACGAGCGAGUGGAGUUCGAGCAACCAAGCUUAUUCUUAUUCUGAUUUGAGUCUUAGGGUGUAUUAGCUUACUUGAGCAGGUGCUAAUGUGAGCUUUGGAGGAGUAAUCUGUGAGGUCACUCUCUCACAUAAUGGGUACACUAAUAUUCUUUCUUAUAGAGAGCCUCGAUUGUUCUUUGUUUAGACUAUAUGGGUUUGUUUUCAAGACCGGAACUAUCAACCACUCAGCGAUCUCUCCCCGAGGCUAUUUCGAUUUUCUUCCUACAAAUGGAAUAUUACUAUAUAUUUUAUAGAAACUAUAUAUUUUAUAGAAACACUAACUAUCUGCCAGAUGCAAAUCUAUAUUUCGAUGUUUCUAGUCUAUAAAUACUCCACUCCAUGUCUAUAAAUCCACUUUCCCUCGACUCUAUGUCUAAAUCCAAUCAAGCGGUAAGAAGUUAUUAAGAAUCAAAGGAUUCAUGGUCAAAUCCCUACAUUCUGAAAUUUCUUAGAAUUAUGACUAAGCGAGGAAUCCAAAGGUGUAGUUUGAAUUAGUUGGUAGCUUGGAGGAUUACAAACAUGACUAUUGCUUUCCAAUUAGCAGUUUUAGCAUGAAUUGCUCUACUUCAUCAGUCUUACUUAUUUGUGUACCCGUUGUAUUUUCUUCUUCUGAUGCCAAUACUGAAUUUCAAAUAAUCAAAAGAAUAUUAUGGAUUCCGGUACAUCAUUAUGGAUUGGAUUUGUCUUUCAGGUGGCUACCCUUAAUUCUCUCAUCUCUGGGGACUUUUUCCGUAUAUAUCCCAAAACUCCAUAGCUUCUACACCUGGGCUUAGUUAGCACCGGUCCAAGAAUUCUCAUUCGGGUCAUCCGUAAAAUAGGUAAAGCUAGUGGUACGUCCCUUAUCUUAUGGUUUGCGAAUGUUUAGACCCUUUUGCUGAAGCCUUUGCUUUUUGACUGUCUAUUCCAUACGUUGUUUCUCAUCAAAGUAAGAAGCCUUUCGAUGCCUUUUGACUCAAUUACUGUCCAUUCCAUACGUUGUUUCUCUAAUAGCGAUGUUGUUAGAAAUUAGCAAUAGAUUGAUUAUCCGAUUCAAAUAGGAGAAAGCCCUCGACUACUAAUCAAGGGGGAAGCAAGCCAGAUUAAUUCAUUUCGUUUUUCCUAAGGUUAAGUCAAACAAGAUAAUGAUGCUUUUACGCUCAUCUGGUCCUAAGCGCUACUUUUGCUUAUGAAGCUAAGCUCUCUUCCUCUCUUUUGAAUCCUGGGUUAGGUUGUUUAAGGUGUGUCCCGGCCCUUAGUGUCUGCUAACUGCUAAGAAGCUCAGGUCGGUCUUAUUUCCGGACAAAGACGACUAUCUCAUAAGCGUUGGCCGUUCCCGAAAGCCUAGAUCUUGACUCCAUUCUGUCAGUGAAGCAAGCAUCCAACUGAUACAGGUACUCCUUACUAUGCCUUUUUUUCACCUUUCUACUUUCUCCUUACAUUGACUGGGCCCUAGAUGGAUUUCCUCGGUGGGCCGAACUCCUCUCGACCAAAAAGGGUAAGCAAGAGAGCGCCCAACGCUUUUCCUUCGCGCCAGAUGAACAUAAGAUUCCAAUCGCCCACAAAACGAAAUGGGACCGCAAUAGUGGGUUGGUUCCUUCUUAAGAAGAAUAUAAGUCAAUAAAUAACAUUUGAGUUUGUGAUCUGAGCCCCACCCGAGGUUUUUCUAGGACGCGUGGCUUUCCAUUUCUUUUCCUAAACCAAUUGAGCUAUCGGUCUGUACAAAGCCAAAGAAAGAGUGUCCCGCUUUUCCCUUGUUUGUGAACCGAGAUCCAUCUAGUCUAGUCCUAGGUUGUCUGAGGCCUUUCUUUGAUCUUGUUGAAAUAAAUAGGAUUGAUUUGAGCGAAAAGUAGGUUAGAGUUGUUUGCUUGGCUUCAUCGGCCAUUUUCUGUACAAAGGAUCUGUGGCAGUGCUAGACCAAAGCUUACACCUUGCUAAUAAUGGUUAUCAGUCUUUCGGCAAUAUGUACACGAGACAGAGAGUUAUUCCCGGCUUUCUUCCUUUUCCUGCUAUGACUAGAAGAAUUAUAUGUUAAUCUCUUAUCAUAUCCAACUUGGCGAUUACACGACAUGGUGAAGACAGCAUGCUGCAGCAAAUGAUCUCUUGUACUCGCGGAUCGAAGAAGAAUUGCUUUAGAGGAUUCCUUUCCGUUGCUCCCCCAAUCCUUCUUUGCUAUAGUUGUAUUGAUUCUCCAUUAUGAUUGUCUCAUAGGCUCGUGUCAGGCUGAUGCAUUUUGAGGAAUACGUCCAAUCGAAAAGGCUUAUAAUAUCCUUGCUAAUCAAGUGCGAUGAACACUCGCCGAUAGAGAACAGGCAAAACUACACCCGCGGUCGCGUCGGAAGGGUGGGUCGGUGGCUGUCUCACUGUCAAGGAUUAGUUCAGAGAUAUAGAUGUCAUAGUCUUGGCUUGCUUGCUUGCUUUGCAGAACAUAAGGAAUGGCUUCGACCCAGGGAGGUGGUGGUUUUACCUAGUAAUAGAGAUGGGCGUGGAUUCUAUUGGAAGGACUAUUUACACAUGGACCCCACUAUUCAUGAUACUUGGAAAGAAGGCUCUCGCUUACCCACCUGAACCACUAUGGAAAGACGGAUCAAGAAAGAAUAUGGAAUACCAAGAAUACGGAUUUUUGAGUAGGGUAUAAAACAAACAUGUUAUCUGUGCACACUUGGAACCCGAUCCUCAAGCAUAGUCACUACUAGCUGCGACCGAGGACGAAAGCGAAAUGAAUUCCAGAAGCCGGAUAAAGAGAAUCCAAAGUUUCAUAAAGAUCAGGGAAAGAAGAUAGUUAACUACUUAACUAGUAUAGGGUUAGGCAGCCAUUAAGGAUGGUCUUAGUUUGAAGCUCCCUAAUGCGCUUACUUAUUUGCUUGUUUGCUUUCAGAAUCUUAAAUAAGUGUCUCUUUGCGCCCUUGACAAUACUUCAAUUGAAUCUAGCUGCGCCCUUGGCAAUACUUCAUUGAAUCUAGCAUUACUACAAUACUUCAUUGAAUCUAGCGUUACUAAUAAGGGGUCACAAAAUACCUCACCUUUUCUUUCUUCAUCAAAGAAUAUAGGUCACAUUUCGCCUUUGUGCUGUAACUUACUCUCGGGGUGCUUGAGCUUACUUCAGGGAACAAGCUACGGAAAACAAGCAAGAACAAAUAGUUUCGGGUCGGGGUACGUUAGCGAACUCAACUCUACAGGCAAUGAACAAACAAGGGCUUCCACUAUAGCGCCAGUCGUUGCGCAAGAACAAGUAGUUUCGGAGUACAUUAGCGAACUCCACUCUACAAGCAAUGAAUAAGCUGCAACAGAUGAGUCAAGUAUGGAGUUUUCAGGUGGGAGUCAAUCCUCUAUUCAAGGGAUGAGUCAAGGGAAUAACUCGCAAACCUCACUGCUGACAAUCAAGUCACCUCAAUGCUUACAGCUGGCUCUAAAGAAUCUAGCGUUCCACUUGUAUAAGUGCUACAGAAAGUAACCUAACAGUGAAACAAACAUCACUCCUUACUGCGAAACUCGAAAGUCAAGAAAAGAAUCGAGGCAAAAGAGAAACAAGUUGUUGAAACCUUAGUGCUUACUGCUUGUUAUUGAAACCUUAGUGCUUACUGCUGGUUGUUGAAACCUAACUCCUUACUGCUGGCUCAACGCACAAGGGCGCGAACUCCCUUAAGCGCAACAUGAGACUAUGUUCCCUUGCUUCUUUCAUGGAAUCUAGUGCACCUGGAACAAUACUUUCUAAAGCAAGCCUCUUAUCCUGCUCCUACUAACUCAUUGGCUUUUGCUUUUCCCCAACGAUAAUAGAAUCCAAAAGUGACCUAACAGCUUACAUCUAACCUGACUGCCUAUUCUUAACUAGCUCAACCAACCCGCCCGAACUCAAAUAAUCAGAAUGAUGUUUCUUAUCCCUUCUAAACUCACUGACGCUAGAACACCGAAAUUAGGAACAGCUGACUCCUCCAAAGCUCAUUAAUUCACUUAGUCUUGCUUGCGCGGUUACUUAUUCUGUUUACUACUCCCAAACUCUCUGAUUGCCUUGCCGUUUAGAUACCCUAUACUUGACUGGAACUUGACUUCUUAAGCAUUAACAACAGGUUUCUUAGAAGCUGCUCCAUUAGUCGUUGCUUGUUUGCUUGUUUCAGUCACUAUCCCCGCCCGAUACCUCCUAUCUGAAUUCACGUGAGCACUUGUUCUUGCAUGUUUACUUGUUUGCUUUUGUGGCUUUUUCUGUCAUCAUGAAUAUCAGCACCCUUUAUAGCAGGCCCUAUACUAAUGACUUGGGCAGAGGCACCGUUAUCCAUACUAAACUUGCGACUUGACUUCGAGCAGAAAAGAAAGAAUGGAAUUGGGAAAAAGCUCAUGUUCGACGUUGCUUGUUCUGUCUCUUCUUACUCUUAUUUAUUACCUGUAUACUACACUCUAUUCCCUUAUCCUCCUGUUACGUUGCGCGGUGUAUUGUCUUAAAGGUAAAGGCUGCAGUCGGCUGUUGUUAGGCUACGCUAUUAUAGGAAUAUGCUUGAUAGAUGAAAUUCCAGGUGUGAGUUUAGAGUCACAGAGUUUGUGCGUUAGGAGUUUACAGCACCCAAAGAGACUCGUCGAACAGAAGGGAAGGACAAUCCGCCAUAAGAGUAGUUGAACAGAGGUGAAACAACGAGAAAUCUGCCUUCUGAAGCUUACUUGCGCGGGUGCUACGUGAGCUGAGCUUUUUGGAGGAAAGGUGCGCUUACGGGUAAGGGAGCAUUGCAUAGAUCCUGGUUGGUAAGAAGUUAUGACAAUUCCAGCUUUCGUCGAGCGGCAGGGAGCUUAUAGACAAGCACUCUUACUUGACUUAUACUUACUUGUGAAAUUCAGUAGUUCAGUAUUGCCGGGGCCACUGUAUCAUAAGAUUCCAAAGAAGGGGAAUCCGUUCUCAAGUCAGCUCUAGAAUAGACAAGAGAAGCUGUUGAAUCUGUUCUCUUAUAUCAUAAAGAAUGAAAGAUAGGGCAAGUAACUACUAAUUAUGCUUGCCGGUUUCUCUUUUGACUGGAAGUGAAACACAAGCCUACCCGCCAAGCCACGUAUAGACAUUACGAGCACUUCAACUAGAGCACUUAAACAAUCACUCCUACUGUUGCUUGUCUACUUGGCCCCUUCUUUUUUGAUAGCAAGUGUAGACUUCAAGUUGAGAGGUGGGCAAGGGGGAAUCAUAAAGAUCUGAAGUAGGGUACUUAGCAAUAAGGAAGGGCAAAGGUGUAAUUAAGGCUUUAAGACCGGGUACUGAUACUCUUGUGUAAGAAUCGGUACCUUAGUUUCAGAAUGGAAGUAGGUAGUCAAAGAACAACCCGUGUAGUACAGACUUUAACAGGUUGUUAACUUUUAAAGAAGAAAAGACAGGGUACUUUUUCUAGUAAUGAGAAUCGGUUCUCGGUACCGGUAGUAGAAAUCACAAUUCAUUAAUAUUAAUGUCAGAAUGACUCCCUAAAAGAAGAAUGCAGGCCAGCACGAAACAUAGGAUCUACGCAUUGAGCUCAAUUCCCCUGUUAAGGUCUUGUGUACCCUUAUUCUAUUCUGGCUAGGCAGUGUUCGAUCUUAUGGUUAGUCUAGUUGUUCAAGCCCUAGCUCUUAGUUUCAAGUUCCAGUAUUUCUCCCUGGGGACCGGCUCUAUUCUUUCUAUUCUUGGUCUCCGUGGAUUUCCUAGUUAUAAGGUUCGGUCUUAUUGGGCACCUCGUCAAUCUUACUUUCGAUUGUUAGUCCUAUUAGUGAGCUUCAUCUUUCCACUCCUUGGCUGAGUGAACUACCCUCCUUUCUUUAUUCAAAUUACAGAAUUCUGGGCAACGCGUUUGCCUGUACUCGCUUAGACUAAGGGCGAAGGAAGGUGAUCUAUCCGAUACUAUAAGAUAUGUUGUGUCAUACUGGGUUGUGUUGCGGUGCACCAUACUAGGCAUUGCAGAACCCAGCAAAACCGAGAAACAAACCCUAGAGC